RNAcentral lists this ribosomal RNA (497 nucleotides) under uncultured bacterium. RNAcentral describes it as "partial 16S ribosomal RNA". It matches the Rfam family "Bacterial small subunit ribosomal RNA", at positions 28 to 507 of the family's 1533-position model. The record is from RNAcentral.
GAUGAACGCUGGCGGCGUGCCUAAUACAUGCAAGUCGAGCGAACAGACGAGGAGCUUGCUCCUCUGACGUUAGCGGCGGACGGGUGAGUAACACGUGGAUAACCUACCUAUAAGACUGGGAUAACUUCGGGAAACCGGAGCUAAUACCGGAUAACAUGUUGAACCGCAUGGUUCAACAGUGAAAGACGGUUUUGCUGUCACUUAUAGAUGGAUCCGCGUCGCAUUAGCUAGUUGGUAAGGUAACGGCUUACCAAGGCAACGAUGCGUAGCCGACCUGAGAGGGUGAUCGGCCACACUGGAACUGAGACACGGUCCAGACUCCUACGGGAGGCAGCAGUAGGGAAUCUUCCGCAAUGGGCGAAAGCCUGACGGAGCAACGCCGCGUGAGUGAAGAAGGUCUUCGGAUCUUAAAACUCUGUUAUUAGGGAAGAACAAAUGUGUAAGUAACUAUGCACGUCUUGACGGUACCUAAUCAGAAAGCCACGGCUAACUACGUG